Molecule: transfer RNA, 95 nt
Filed under: Rugosimonospora africana
Lineage: Bacteria; Bacillati; Actinomycetota; Actinomycetes; Micromonosporales; Micromonosporaceae
Description: tRNA-Gln
Source: RNAcentral
CGGCCCGGGCUGGGCGAGUUGGUCGCAGACGCCUUGACCGUCGGCGAGGCGUGGGUGGGCGCGCCGGUCGUCGGCGCGGGACCGACCGGGCUGCC